RNAcentral lists this ribosomal RNA (405 nucleotides) under uncultured bacterium. RNAcentral describes it as "partial 16S ribosomal RNA". It matches the Rfam family "Bacterial small subunit ribosomal RNA", at positions 28 to 526 of the family's 1533-position model. The record is from RNAcentral.
GACGAACGCUGGCGGCGUGCUUAACACAUGCAAGUCGAGCGGAGCGGCGAACGGGUGAGUAACGCGUGAGUAACUGCCCCCCUCUCUGGGAUAACAGUUGGAAACGGCUGCUAAUACCGGAUAGUGGGGGAUGACUCGCGUCCUAUCAGCUUGUUGGUGGGGUAGUGGCCUACCAAGGCGACGACGGGUAGCCGGCCUGGGAGGGGGAACAGCCCCAUUGUGCUGAGGGACGGCGCAGACUCGUACGGGGGGCAGCAGUGGGGAGUAUGGCCCAAUGAGGGAGACCCUGAUGCGGCAACGCCGCGUGCGGAAUGGCGGCCUUCGGGUUGUGAACCGCUUUCAGCCAAGACGCGGUAGUGGCAGAAGAAGCACCGGCUAACUACGUGCCAGCAGCCGCGGUAAUUC